This 330-nucleotide long non-coding RNA is filed under the name Gossypium barbadense (sea-island cotton). RNAcentral's name for it is "long non-coding RNA (GBAR_LNC017991)". The record is from RNAcentral. Lineage: Eukaryota; Viridiplantae; Streptophyta; Magnoliopsida; Malvales; Malvaceae.
CAGCGGCUAAGGACCCAGCUUGACCCGCCACCGCAGUGUUCCUUAGAGGGCCGGCCUUAACGAAUGGACCCACCAGGAGGAAGCCGUGAGCCAGACCCACUUCGAUUCCCCUCAGAAGUGGGUUCACUGCCGUCCUAUAGGCUGGGAGGUUGGAAAGGUACCAUGCAAUUAAGGGGCUUGAGGUGAUUGGAGUCUCCAGGCUUCCAAUGAAGGGGUCGCCGUUGAUGGGUUGGAUUACUUGAAAUGUUGACUGCAAAAGGAGAGGGAGGGGGGGGGGGAUGAUAAAAAAAACUUAGUGAAGUGACGAGCCUAGCUAAGCUAACAGUGACC